GACCUGCCACCUCCCACUCCUCCCCCCUGUCUCUCUCUUCAGGCUCACCCUACCCACAGAGGCACAGAGUUGUGGAUAGAGGAGCAGGCAAAAGCUCUGUGCCCUGUGUGCUGGGAAACCUUCGCACAUUUUCUAGAUCUACUUUGGCUUUUCUGUUUCUUUUUGGCUGCACUUUUUUUCUCACAGCUGGGAGCACAGGCCCUGGAAACAGGUUGCCUCACCUGCUGUUCCACACCUACUGCCCCUCCUCACACACUCUCUUCCUUAUUGCAAGCACAUAGCGUAUGUGUUUUUGUUGUCAGAUGCUGAGAAGGCUUUGAUCGGGAAAACAAAAUGAGUAUCAAUGGGGGAUCCCACACCCGGAUCAAUACCCUAGGCAGACUAACAAGAUCCGAGUCGGGCCAGGAUAUUAGCGGGAGGUAUGAAAUGAACAACUACCACAAGAUGGUGGGAGGAGGACCAGGAAUACAGACUAUGUACACCACACAGGUCUACAGCAGUGAAACCACUGGAGACAGCUAUGGACAAGGUGGGACCAUGGCAAGGCGCCCUAACACAGUUAAUGAUCUGCUUCAGAACAUAUCUGCAAACCUGGGCCAAGCAGAACUAGUUGUACAGCAUGAAUUGAAAUAUGGAGAUGGAGCUCAGACCAUUCGGAACCGUGAUCUGGAUGAAUGCCUGGGAGUAGCCAAUGAACAGAUUGAAAUAGUUGAAGGCUUGAUUAGAGAAAUGAGAGCUAUGGGUCAGCCGUAUGAACAGUAUAGUAGAAAACUACUUCAGCUUCAGGAUCAAAUGCGUGCCCUCUACAAAGCCAUCCACGGGCCACGAAUGCGUAAAGGAUCCAAAAGUGGAGGAUUUUCUUCCCAGAGUGGAUCAGGAUGGGAUGAGCACACAAAACGCAUUACAUCAGAGACCUUAGGUCAGAUAAGGCAGCAAAGACGCCAACUGGAGAUGGUGGACUGGGGAUUUGAUGCUUCCUCCGUAGAACAACAAAUUACCAACCACAGGAAAUUCCACAAUGCCAUUGCUGACUAUCGAUGGGAUCUUGAUAAAAUAAAAGCUGAUGUGAGAGAAAAGGGUGCGAUUUAUCAAUUGGAAGAGGAAUAUGAUUGCUUAUUGAAAGCUUCAUUUGAGAGAAUGGAUCAACUGCGCCAGCUACAAGCCAUAAUCCAGGCAACAUCCAAAGAGAUCAUGUGGAUUAAUGACCAUGAGGAAGAAGAACUUGUUUUUGACUGGAGUGACCGCAACACAGAUAUCCCAAAGAAGCAAGAAUCUUUCUCUAAACUUAUGAGUGAGCUUGAGGUCAAAGAAAAGGAACUUAACAAGCUUAAGCAGGAAAGUGACCAGCUUAUCCUGAACCAGCACCCUGCAGCAGACAAGAUUGAGGCUUAUAUGGAUACCCUACAGACUCAGUGGAGUUGGAUACUUCAGAUUACCAAAUGCAUCGAUGUCCACCUGAAAGAAAAUGCUGCAUACUUUCAAUUUUUUGAUGAAGCACAGAGCACAGAAAACUACUUGAUGAAUCUGCAGGAGACCAUCCGAAAGAAAUAUAUUUCUGACAAAAGCAUGUCCCUGCAACGUGUUCUAGAUAUGAUUAAAGACCUGGAGAAAGAAAAAGAGAAGAUUAAUGAAUAUAAAAGGCAGGUGCAGAGCCUGGUGAAUAAAUCCAAGAAAAUAGUACAACUCAAGCCACGUAAUCCAGACUACAAAAGAGACAAACCUAUAGUUCUUAAGGCUUUAUGCGAUUACAAGCAAGAUCAGAAAGUUAUACACAAAGGAGAUGAGUGCAUUCUGAAGAACAAUUCCCAACGUAGCAAAUGGAAUGUGACUGGUCCUGGAGGCUUGGACAUGGUGGUGCCUUCAGUCAGUUUGAUUAUUCCUCCCCCAAAUCCAUUAGCAGUGGAUCUGGCUACAAAAAUUGAACAGUUCUAUGAAGCAAUUUUGGUCCUCUGGAAUCAGCUUUACAUCAACAUGAAAGCACUGGUAUCCUGGCACUACUGUAUGAUUGAUAUUGAGAAAAUAAGGGCAAUGACAAUUGCAAAGCUUAAAACUAUGCGUCAAGAAGACUACCAAAAGGUGGUUACAGACUUGGAAAUCCAUUAUCAGGAGUUCCUGAGAAACAGUCAAGGUUCAAACAUGUUUGGAGAUGAAGACAAAAGGAAAAUGCAGUCUCAGUUCUCGGAAGCACAAAAACACUAUCAAACUUUGGUUGUACAGCUCCCAAGUCGAUCAACCACAGUAACUGAAACGAUUAUUCAGCAGAAUGCUGCCCCCAUAACCAAAGAAGUUGUGAAAAGUGUCUCAUCUUCCAUGGUGGAAGUGGACAGCAAGCAGAUGGAUCGUGACAGGGAGAAACAAGAGAAUAUGCUGUUGCUUGAGCUGCAGAGGAUCCGUAAACAGCUGGAAAGCUAUGAGAUAAGGCUGGUGAGAAACAACAUCUAUAAUGUGGACCAAGAAACUGCUAAAGAUUUUCCACGCAGAAUAAGUGAAAUUGAGUCCCUGAAAGGAGAAAGACAAGGAGUAGCUACACAACUCAGUAGGAUUAAAGAGAUGAUACUGAAUCUAAAGGAUUCUGAUAAGUCUUCAUACCUACACUCAGAGCUCAGUUUCCUUUUAAAGAAGAUGGAAAAUAUUAAUGGGUUUUCAGCUGACCAUUUAGAAAGGCUUCAGUCACUGAGGUUGCUGCUCCAGAGUAUCCUACAACUUGAGGAUCUAAUCAAAGUUUAUGAAGUGAGGCUGACUGAGGAGGAAACUAUUUCCCUUGAUCCAGCAAAAGUUGAAGCAUACAGGGGUACUUUGAAAAAAAUGAAGAUGGAGCUGGAACAAAAAAAGGCCAUGCUGAAGAAUCUAGAUACUGAGCUGAAGAGCACCCUGCAAAUAAAUGACCGUGUCAACCAGACAUAUCCGUUUUAUGAUCUGGACAUGUCAAAAUUCUUGAACAAGGGAAACCAACUGAUAGAAAGGUCCCAAAGAAUAGAGAAGGAGAUUGAUGACAGGUUGUGGGAAUUAGAGAAGCAAAGCAAGCAAAUAAAGAAUUACAAAGACCUUUCUCACGUGUUAGGCAAGUGGAUAAGUGAUACAAAGCACAAGCAAGAUUCCCUAGAAUCCAUCAAACUGACAGAUGCGAUCACUGUUUCAAGAUGCAUAAGUGACCAAAAGGCUUUGAAUGCUGAAAUUCACAGCAAAAGAGAUAAAGUUGAAGAAGUUGUAAAAACUGCAGACAUAUGUGCAUCAGGCAUUAAGGAUUAUGAACUCCAGUUAGCAUCCUAUAGCUCUGGUUUGGAAACACUACUCAAUAUCCCCAUCAAAAGGACAAUGGUGCAGUCCCCUUCAGGAGUGAUAACACAAGAGUCUGCUGAGAUUCAAGCACGUUACAUUGAGCUCCUUACCAGGGGAAAUGAUUACUACAGACUUCUGCAUGAACUAUCAAAGAGCUUGGAAGACUUAAAGAUGAAAAAUACUAGAAUUGAACUUCUAGAGGAGGAGUUGCGGCUUGCAAGAGAUGCAAAUUCAGACAAUUCUCAGAAAAAUAAAUAUCUUGAUCAAAAUCUUCAAAAGUAUCAAAUUGAAUGCAAUGAAUAUAAGUCCAGAAUCCUUUUGCUAGAGGAUAUAAAGAGAAAGGCAGAAAUGGAUGGCAGUUCUGCCAAGCAGAAUUUAGAAAAAUACUACAGCCAGAUAACUGAGCUUAAUGACAAGAUAACUCGAUUAACAUAUGAAAUUGAUGAUGAGAAAAGAAGGAGAAAGGCACUGGAAGACAGGUGUGAGAUGCAGAAGAAUGAUUUUGACCAAAUGCAGAAGAAAAAACAAAAUGACCUUGAUGCUAUUAACAGACAAAGGCUGGAGACUGAAAAGAUUUAUAAGGAGAAGGAGUAUGAAAUAGAGAGAUUGAAGAUUCUUCUUCAGGAUGAGGGCCAGAGGAAGCGGGAGUAUGAAAAUGAGCUAUCAAAGGUAAGGAAGCAGUAUAAUGACGAAAUCAGUAGUUUGAGGACCAAGUAUGAAUCAGAAAUAACUAUUACGAAGACAACAAUUCAGCAGAUAUCUGCUCAGAAGGAAGAGGACACAUAUGACCUAAAAUCCCAGCUAGAGAAACUUGCUCGGGAUAACAGAGACCUCACAGCAGAAAUUACAAGAAUGAAUGAUGGUAUGGCUCAAAUAAAUGAGCAUCGUAGGAAAGCAGAAGAAGAGGCCUUCCAGCACAAAGCUUCUGGUUCUGAACUAUCCCAGAGAAAGCAGCAUUUAGAAACUGAGUUACAAAAGUUAAUUACUAUCCACUCAGAAGAUACUGCAAGAUAUAAGAUAUCUCUAGAGGAAGCUGCUAGGACAAUACAGGAGAGAAAUAGCGAGGUUGAAAAAUUGAAGUACCAACUACAAGAGGAGGCUGCACGACAGAGGCAUUAUGAAAAUGAACUUGCUAAGGUAAGAAACAAUUAUGACGAACAGCUUAUAAAUUUAAAAAACAAGUAUGAGACAGAAAUUAACAUCACAAAAACCACAAUACAUGAAAUAACUGUUCAAAAAGAAGAUAAUAUUGGUGAGUUCAGAAGACAAAUGGACAAUUUAGCAAAAGAAAAAAGAGAUUAUCUGGCAGAAGUCGAUAGACUGAAAGCCACUAUAUCACAAAUGACAAAUAAUCUCAGGAAAACAGAAGAUGAUGUCCACCAGCAGAAAUCCUACACAUCUGAGAUAUCUCGGAAAAAGCAACAGCUAGAGAUUGAGCUCCGACAAAUCAAUGAUCUUAAAAAUGAUCUAGAGCAAAAGUCCAAAAAAUCACUAGAGGAUGCUGCCAAAACUAUUCAGGAUCGUAACAAGGAAAUUGAGAGGCUGAAAAAGAUCAUAGAAGUUGAAACGGAGCAAAGAAAAAAAAUGGAAGAUGAAAAUGUCAAAUUGCAGAGAACGCAGUAUGAUCUACAGAAAGUCAACAGCAGUGCCACAGAGACCAUAAACAAACUGAAAAUUCAGGAGCAAGAUUUAAUACGGCUUAAAGCAGAUUAUGAAAAAUUAUCUCUUAAAGAUCAAGACAAACAAAGUGAAAUUUUCAGACUUCAAACCAACUUGAAAGAACUACAAACACAGAAACUCAAACUGGAAGAGGAGAUAAACAGACAAAAGAGAAUUGCAACAGAUGAACAUACAACUAAUAAGAAAUUAGAAGAUGAGCUGGAAAGCUUGCGGAGAACCAGCAGUGAACAACUAAAAAAGAUCACACAUCUAACACAGCAAAUAGAACAAAUUACUGUUGUUAAAAAGCAAACCGAAGAUGAUCUGAGACAGCAGAGGGAAUCUUUAGAUAGUCAACUCAGGGACAAACAGAGAAACAUUGAUGAGCUGAGCAAACUGGUCGCUGAGGUGGAAAGUCUACGUCGGCAGCUACAUGUAGAACAAGAAAAUUUAAGGCAGGCUCAUGGGCGUAAUGAGCAUUUACAAAAGACAGUUGAAGAGCGAAACAAAAGCCUAAAUGAAUGUAAAAUAGAGAUAGAAAGGCUUCAGUCAAUAACAGAAAAUUUGACCAAAGAACACUUAAGGUUAGAAGAAGAGUUGAGAUACCUAAGACUGGAACAUGAUGAGGUGAAGAAAAGCAAAGACGAGGUGGAUGGUGAAAAAAGUGCAACUAUUACAGAAUUAAAGAACCAGCUGCAAACAAGCAACAAACGCUCAUUGGAGCUACAGGGCCUGAUAAAUGAGUUACAGAAAGAGAGACAAAAUUUGAGACAGGAAAUUGAAAAAUUCCAAAAGCAAGCACUAGAGGCAUCCAGUAAGAUACAUGAAUCCAGUAGCAAGUGCUCUGAAAUUAUGCAAGAAAAGGAAAGCCUUCUAAUGAAAAUAAAGCUUUUCGAACAAGAUAAAGUAAGACUGCAGAGACUAGAAGAUGAACUUAACCGAGCCAAGGCAGCAUUAGAUUCUGAAACUAGAUAUAAGCAGCGUCUGGAGGAAGAAAAAAACCAAAUCCGAAAUGAUUUUAACCAAUGGAAAAGUCAGUUUACUCGCAAAGAAGAGGAUGUGAAGCGAAUAGAAACUGAUCUUGAUAGGUGUGAGAGAGAUAAGUUUGGACUUAAAAGUGAAAUUGAGAGGCUACAGGCAGAGAUAAGGUCCAUUGAAGAAGGGUACAGGCGUAAAUUAGAUGAUGUCAACAGGACAAUGAAAGCACAACAACUAGCGCUGGAAAGUGAAUUGGAAAAUCUUAGGAGACGUCCACCUGGAUCAAUUAAGCAAACUCAGACAGAUGAGGACAUGUCAAUUGAUCCCUCUAAAUUUUUAUUUGAUGGGCUACGGAAAAAGGUUACAGCACAUCAGCUGCUUGAGUGUCAAAUAAUAACUAAAGCGACAUAUGAAAAAUUAAUUAAGGGGCAAAAAUCUGUUGAAGAGGUUGCUGCAGAGGUAGAGCCCUUUCUGAAAGGUGCUGGGGCAAUAGCUGGGGUAUCUGUUACACCUAAAGAAAAAUAUUCACUGGUGGAAGCUAAACGUAAAAAACUUACUUCACCAGAGAGCACAGUAAUGCUUCUCCAGGCCCAAGCAGCUACAGGAGGAAUAAUUGAUAUUGAAAGAAAUGAAAAGCUAACAGCAGAUCAUGCCCUGGCUAGAGAUCUUAUAGAAUACUCGGGUAAAGAGGCAAUUUAUACUGCAGAAAAAGCUAUAACUGGCUUUAAAGAUCCAUUCUCAGGAAAAAUUGUUGGCGUUGGGGAAGCCAUUAACAAAAACUUAAUUUCACGGGAUGAUGGCAUCCGACUUCUAGAAGCACAGGUAGCUGCGGGAGGAAUAGUAGAUCCAGUAAUCAGUGUCUACAUACCAGUAGCUAUUGCACUAUCUCGUGGCUUGAUUGAUCAAAAUCUAUACAAAAUCUUAAAUGAUCCCAAUGAUGAUGCUAAGUAUUUUAUUGAUCCUGUCUCUAAGAAAAAUAUCAGUUAUGCUCAGCUUAGAAAAAAAUGCAGAGUUGAACCUCAUACAGGAUUUUUAUUGCUACCUGUAAUGAAGAAAAGCCUUUCAUUCCCGGGUAUUCGACACCCAGUUCCAAUGGAUGAAUUAGUUCAAUCUGGAAUUAUACGACCUGAUACAGUGGAUCAACUAGAAUCUGGUCAGAUAACUGUCGAGGAAGUCAGUGAGCGCAUUAAAGAUUUUCUACAGGGGUCGAGUUGUAUUGCUGGCAUUUACAAUGAAGCUACAAAAGAAAAACUAGGAUUCUAUGAUGCAAUGAAUAAGGGUUUGCUGAGGCCUGGGACAACACUUGAACUUCUAGAAGCCCAAGCAGCAACUGGGUUCAUUGUGGAUCCUGUAAAUAAUUUGAGACUUCCAGUGGAAGAAGCACACAGGAGGGGGCUUGUUGCAAAUGAAUUCAAGGAUAAGUUAUUAUCUGCUGAAAGAGCCGUCACUGGGUACAAAGAUCCAGAAACAGGCAAUAUCAUAUCUUUGUUUCAGGCUAUGAAGAAAGAACUGAUUGAGAAAGGCCAUGGCAUUCGCUUGUUGGAAGCUCAGAUUGCCACUGGUGGAAUUAUUGAUCCCAAAGAAAGCCACCGUUUGCCAGUUGAUGUUGCAUAUAAACGUGGUUAUUUUAACCAAGAGAUGAAUGGGAUUCUUUUAAGUCCUGAUGAUGAUACCAAGGGCUUUUUUGAUCCAAAUACAGAAGAAAAUUUGACAUACCUUCAACUAAAAGAAAGGUGCAUUGUGGAUGAGAAAACAAAUCUUUGUUUGUUGCCUCUGAAAGAGAAGAAGAAGGCAGUUCAAACAUCCCAAAAGAAUACCUUGAGAAAACGCAGAGUUGUGAUAGUAGAUCCAGAUACUAACAGAGAAAUGACCGUGCAAGAAGCUUACAAAAAAGGUCUCAUCGAUUACAAUACCUACAUUGAACUUUCUGGACAGGAGUGUGAAUGGGAGGAAAUAACCAUUACAGGUUCAGAUGGCUCAACAAGAAUUGUCCUUGUUGACCGAAAAUCCGGAAACCAGUAUGAUGUUCAAGAAGCAAUAGAAAUGGGCAUGAUCAACAAAUCUCAACUUGAUCAGUAUCGUGCUGGUUCCAUAAGCCUUACUCAAUUAGCAGAUAUGAUCUGCAAUAUAAAUCUCAGUGAUGAUGUGUUAGUUUCCUCAAGGCAUGAUUCAUCAUCUUCUCCUAGGCUUCGUACCAGUUCAUGGUCAAAAAGUGGCUCAUAUUCAGAUACAUUAGAGGAGACAAGUCCCAUUGCAGCCAUAUUUGAUACAGAAAAUAUUGAAAAAAUCUCUAUAUCAGAGGGUAUUAAUCGUGGAAUUGUUGACACAAUUACUGGCCAGCGCUUACUAGAAGCACAGGCCUGUACAGGGGGAAUUAUUAACCCUGUCACAGGCCAGAGAUUGUCCCUUCAAGAUGCUGCUGCACAAGGUAUAAUAGAUCAUGAUAUGUUGUCAAGAUUAAAACAAGCUCAAAAAGCUUACUUUGGAUUUGAUGGAAUCAGAGGUCAGACAAAAUUGUCUGCAGCAGAAGCAAUGAAGGUAAACUGGCUGCCUUAUGAAGCUGGGCAACGAUUCCUUGAGUUUCAGUACAUAACAGGUGGUCUAGUUGAUCCAGAAACGCAAGGAAGACUGACAACUGAGGAAGCCAUCAGAAAAGGUAUGAUUGAUGGCCGAGCAGCACAGAAACUUCGAGAUGUGAACAACUAUCCUAAAAUUUUGACCUGUCCUAAGACUAAACUAAAAAUAUCUUACAAAGAAGCAGUUGAUAGAUCUAUGGUUGAAGACAAAACAAGCUUGCGGAUGUUGGAAGCAGCUUCAGUUUCUUCUAAAGGGAUUAGCAGCCCAUACAAUAUGUCCUCUGCCCCAGGAUCACGUUCAGGAUCUCGAUCUGGUUCUCGAAGUGGAUCACGUAGGGGGAGCUUUGAUGCUUCUUCUGGCUCAUCGUCCGUACAGUCAUCGUACAGUUUUUCUCAAAAUAUUUUUAGUAGCAGUUCUUCAGGAGGAAUUUAGUGGUUAAUGGGCUUUAAUAGUUUCUUUAUUUGUAUGAUUUGUCUAAAAAAAAGGAAGGGAGAUUGCUUUACUUUUAAUCUUCAACAUUAAAUGUAUGGAUUAUGCUUUCAACAGCACAAUGCUCUUUUUUUUCUAGACCCGUCAAAAUUGAAUUUGUUUAAUAUAUUUUAUUUAGAGGUGUCUAAUUUGUAUUCUGGCAUAAACUUGCUGUAUCUUUUCUAUAUGUUGAUCCAAUGUGGUUUAAAAUACUCCUGUGUGAUCAAUGUAAAAUUUAGAUAUCAGUUUUGUAAUGCAAAUUUAAAUUGCAAAUGUAUUUGGAGUAAUUGCUUCACCUUGUACAAAAACUCCUUAUAAAUAACAGAGAAUAAUGCUCACUGUGCCAGAUGCAAUUCCUGAUGGGGUCCCAUUUUAUCCACCCAUAAACUCCAGCAGCAAGACCGAAGAGGUGCACUUUAGCACACAAAAACUAAACAUAUAAAGGAAAGGCUGUACACAAACUGGUGUACUUGUAUGCUUUUAAAAAACAACUCAAAACUCAUACCACCCUCUCGUGUGCAGCCUCACUGUGUUCUCUCUUUUAUCAUUUAACAAUGCAGUUUGACUACAUGCAACAAAUACUGGCCUUCUUGAUUACAAUGAUUUUGGAGUGCCUUGAAAUGCAUUUAAAACCUUAAACAUAAUAACAGCUCUGACAGAGUAUUAAGACACAGUGCAGUGUUAAAUUCCUGGUACAAAUGCCCCAUUUAGACAGUUAAGCCCCAGAUAUCACUCUACUGAUUAUACGGGCUGCUAGGUAACCUGUUCUCCCAGCCAGUGGUGUCAAAUGCACAUGCACCAGUUACUGACUGCCCUGGGUCAAGAAUUGUCUUUAAUAAUGUCUGUCUUUGCCAUUAUUGCACUAGGGCUUUAUAACUCUUUCUACCAUUUUACUGCAAGGUUAUAUGCUUUCCGUGUGGUGUCCUGGGCAGUUACAUAUAUUUUUGUACUCAGCUUGUUUGUUAUUUGUCAUGCUGGCAAUAAACUUUAUACCAUUUGAGGCA
This is a non-coding RNA of Xenopus tropicalis (tropical clawed frog), 9965 nucleotides long. The record is from RefSeq and is a predicted model, not a curated record. Lineage: Eukaryota; Metazoa; Chordata; Amphibia; Anura; Pipidae.